RNAcentral lists this ribosomal RNA (253 nucleotides) under uncultured bacterium. RNAcentral describes it as "partial 16S ribosomal RNA". It matches the Rfam family "Bacterial small subunit ribosomal RNA", at positions 524 to 776 of the family's 1533-position model. The record is from RNAcentral.
UACAGAGGGCUCAAGCGUUGUUCGGAUUCAUUGGGCGUAAAGGGCUCGUAGGUGGCCAACUAAGUCAGACGUGAAAUCCCUCGGCUUAACCGGGGAACUGCGUCUGAUACUGGAUGGCUUGAGUUUGGGAGAGGGAUGCGGAAUUCCAGGUGUAGCGGUGAAAUGCGUAGAUAUCUGGAGGAACACCGGUGGCGAAGGCGGCAUCCUGGACCAAUACUGACACUGAGGAGCGAAAGCCAGGGGAGCAAACGGG